GGCACUUGGGGGUCAGAGGCACUUGGGGGUCAGUGACAUUGGGGACAGUGGCACUUGGGGGACAGUGGCACUUGAGGGUCAGUGACAUUUGGGGAGAGUGGCACUUGGAGGUCAGUGACAUUUGGGGUCAGUGGCACUUGGGGGUCGGUGACAUUUGGGGUCAGUGACAUUUGGGGUCAGUGGCACUUGGGGGUCAGUGACAUUUGGGGAGAGUGGCACUUGGGGGUCCGUGGCACUUGGGGGUCAGUGGCACUUGGGGGUCAGGUGGUGACACCUCCACUCUGGGUGUCCCCAACAGUCGGUGGCACUGUCCCUUGUGUCCCCUCUGUCCCCAGUGUCCCCACUCCCAGUGUCACCUCCCAUGUUGUCCCUUCCUACAGUGUCACCUCCACUCCCGGUGUCCCCAACAGUCGGUGCCACUGUCCCUUGUGUCCCCUCUGCCCCCAGUGUCCCCAGUCCCGGUGUCACCUCCACUCCCAGUGUCCCCACUCCCAGUGUCACCUCCACUCCCGGUGUCCCCAACAGUCGGUGGCACUGUCCCUUGUGUCCCCUCUGCCCCGAAUGUCCCCACUCCCGGUGUCCCCUCCACUCCCGGUGUCCCCAACAGUCGGUGGCACUGUCCCUGCUGUCCCCUCCACUCCCAGUGUCCCCUCCCAGGGUGUCCCCUCCCAUGGUGUCCCUUCUCCCAGUGUCCCCUCCACUCUCGGUGUCCCCAACAGUCAGUGCCACUGUUCCUUGUGUCCCCUGUCCCCAUUGUCCCCUCUCCCGGUGUCCCCUCCCGUUGUGUCCCAACAGUCAGAUUCCCCUGCACUCCCUGAGUCCUCCCCACUCCGUGUCCCCCCCCAGCUCCGUGGGGUUCUGUGCUGUGGGGCUGCGGGUGUUGGUGCUGCGGGUGUUGUUGCUGCGGGUGUUGGUGCUGCGGGUGUUGGUGCUGCGGGUGUUGGUGCUGCGGGUGUUGGUGCUGUGGGUGCUGUUGAUCCCAUGGGUGUUGUUGAUGCUGCGGGUGUUGGUGCUGCGGGUGUUGGUGCUCCCAUGGGUGUUGGUGCUGCGGGUGUUGGUGCUGUGGGUGUUGGUGCUCCCAUGGGUGUUGUUGCUGCAGGUGUUGGUGCUGCGGGUGCUGUUAAUUCCGCGGGUGUUGUUACUGCGGGUGUUCUUGAUCCCGCGGGUGUUGGCACUACGGGUGUUGUUGCUGCGGGUGUUGUAGAUCCUGCAGGUGUUGUUGCUCCCAUGGGUGUUGUUGCUGCGGGUGUUGAUGCUGCGGGUGCUGUUAAUGCUGCAGGUGUUUGUGCUGCAGGUGUUGGUGCUGCGGGUGUUGUUGCUCCCAUGGGUGUUGUUGCUGCGGGUGUUGUUGCUGCGGGUGCUGUUAAUUCUGCGGGUGUUGUUUCUGCGGGUGUUGUUAAUGCUGCAGGUGUUGUUGAUCCCAUGGGUGUUGGUGCUGCGGGUGUUGGUGCUGCGGGUGUUGUUGCUGCGGGUGUUGGUGCUGCGGGUGCUGUUAAUGCUGCAGCUGUUGUCUCUGCGGGUGUUGGUGCUGCAGGUGUCAGUGCUGCGGGUGUUGUUGAUCCCAUGGGUGUUGGUGCUGUGGGUGUUGCUGAUCCCAUGGGUGUUGGUGCUGCGGGUGUUGGUGCUGUGGGUGUUGCUGAUCCCACGGGUGUCGGUGCUGCGGGUGUUGGUGCUGCGGGUGUUGGUGCUCCCAUGGGUGUUGGUGCUCCCAUGGGUGUUGGUGCUGCGGGUGUUGCUGA
Molecule: long non-coding RNA, 1739 nt
Filed under: Numida meleagris (helmeted guineafowl)
Lineage: Eukaryota; Metazoa; Chordata; Aves; Galliformes; Numididae
Description: lncRNA (ENSNMEG00000002786.1)
Source: RNAcentral